UUGACCUCAAAUCAGGUAGGACUACCCGCUGAACUUAAGCAUAUCAAUAAGCGGAGGAAAAGAAACUAACAAGGAUUCCCCUAGUAACUGCGAGUGAAGCGGGAAAAGCUCAAAUUUAAAAUCUGGCGGUCUUGCGGCCGUCCGAGUUGUAAUCUGGAGAAGCGUUUAUCCGCGUCGGACCGUGUACAAGUCUUCUGGAAGGGAGCGUCGUAGAGGGUGAGAAUCCCGUCUUUGACACGGACAACCGGUGCUUUUGUGAUGCGCUCUCGAGAGUCGAGUGUUUGGGAUGCAGCUCAAAUGGGUGGUAAAUUCCAUCUAAAGCUAAAUAUUGCGAGAGACGAUAGCGACAGUACCGUGAGGAAGAUGAAAGCA
Molecule: ribosomal RNA, 372 nt
Filed under: uncultured Piloderma
Lineage: Eukaryota; Fungi; Basidiomycota; Agaricomycetes; Atheliales; Atheliaceae
Description: eukaryotic LSU rRNA
Rfam family: Eukaryotic large subunit ribosomal RNA
Source: RNAcentral